GCGAGGUUGGUUUUGUAUGUCCAGUGUCUGUCAAUGUCGUUGAUGGUGAUGCGCUUGUAUCUCGAAAGGACCAUUCGUGAGGGAAUGGUGUCGUCGUGUUACAAGCCCAUCACCCUCAACGACAUGACCCGCCUGUUUCAUACUCCACCAAACCUCGC
This 158-nucleotide microRNA precursor is filed under the name Physcomitrium patens. RNAcentral's name for it is "Physcomitrella patens miR1216 stem-loop (ppt-MIR1216)". The record is from miRBase by way of RNAcentral. Lineage: Eukaryota; Viridiplantae; Streptophyta; Bryopsida; Funariales; Funariaceae.